Molecule: transfer RNA, 71 nt
Filed under: Tinamus guttatus (white-throated tinamou)
Lineage: Eukaryota; Metazoa; Chordata; Aves; Tinamiformes; Tinamidae
Rfam family: tRNA
About the family: Transfer RNA (tRNA) molecules are approximately 80 nucleotides in length.
Source: Rfam by way of RNAcentral
GCAUUGGUGGUUCGGUGGGGGAAUUCUCGCCUGCCAUGUGGGAAGCCGGGGUUUGAUUCCCAGCCAAUGCA